UACGUAGGUGGCGAGCGUUGUCCGGAAUUACUGGGCGUAAAGCGCGCGUAGGCGGCUUUGCAAGUCGGGUGUGAAAUCCCCAGGCUUAACCUGGGAACUGCAUUCGAGACUGCAUUGCUAGAGUAUGGGAGAGGGAAGUGGAAUUUCCGGUGUAGCGGUGAAAUGCGUAGAUAUCGGGAGGAACAUCUGUGGCGAAGGCGACACCCUGGACCAGCACUGACACUGAGGCACGAAAGCGUGGGGAGCAAACAGG
Molecule: ribosomal RNA, 253 nt
Filed under: uncultured bacterium
Lineage: Bacteria
Description: partial 16S ribosomal RNA
Rfam family: Bacterial small subunit ribosomal RNA
Source: RNAcentral